This is a long non-coding RNA of Schistocerca cancellata (South American locust), 556 nucleotides long. RefSeq lists it as uncharacterized. The record is from RefSeq and is a predicted model, not a curated record. NCBI's taxonomy places the organism in Eukaryota, Metazoa, Arthropoda, Insecta, Orthoptera, Acrididae. The transcript is spliced from 3 exons.
GAAAACUCUGGAAUCGUGUGAGGUUUGCUUCCAUGGAGGUAACUAGGCACUUUCAACACAAGCAAACAAGACCACACAACUGUAUGAUGCCUAUCAAUAUUACAACAUGUAACUGGGCACUUUCAACACAAGUGAACAAGACCACACAACUGUAUGAUGCCUAGCAAAAUGUAAAAUAUGUAACUGGGCACUUUCAACACAAGCAAACAAGACCACACAACUGUAUGAUGCCUAUCAAAAUGUAAAAUAUGUGAGUAUUUUGGUGUUUCAUAAUUCAUGCUAAGAAUAAUUUUGCCGGAAUAAGUCAUUUAGGAUGUAUGGGAUAUAACUAGGAACAUGAAUGAAAUGAAAUGUUUGGGCUCUGAUUCACUUUGUAACUGUGCAAAGUUGAGUGUUAUAAUGUAUUGCACUAAGAUAAUAGCAUAAUCCUUACACUAUAAAGGAUCACAAACAAGUCAUUCGUCAUACACUGUGGGCUUACUAAAAUUUAAUUUUUUUUCCUUUUGUUGCAGAUACCUUUCACUUACUGCAAGUAUUUCACUUUGGCAUAAAUGUG